UUAAGCGACUAAGCGUACACGGUGGAUGCCCUGGCAGUCAGAGGCGAUGAAGGACGUGCUAAUCUGCGAAAAGCGUCGGUAAGGUGAUAUGAACCGUUACAGCCGGCGAUGUCCGAAUGGGGAAACCCAGUGCAAUUCGUUGCACUAUCGUUAACUGAAUACAUAGGUUAACGAGGCGAACCGGGGGAACUGAAACAUCUAAGUACCCCGAGGAAAAGAAAUCAACCGAGAUUCCCCCAGUAGCGGCGAGCGAACGGGGAGCAGCCCAGAGUCUGAAUCAGCUUGUGUGUUAGUGGAACGGUCUGGAAAGUCCGACGGUACAGGGUGAUAGUCCCGUACACCAAAAUGCACAGGUUGUGAACUCGAAGAGUAGGGCGGGACACGUGGUAUCCUGUCUGAAUAUGGGGGGACCAUCCUCCAAGGCUAAAUACUCCUGACUGACCGAUAGUGAACCAGUACCGUGAGGGAAAGGCGAAAAGAACCCCGGCGAGGGGAGUGAAAAAGAACCUGAAACCGUGUACGUACAAGCAGUGGGAGCACCUUCGGGUGUGACUGCGUACCUUUUGUAUAAUGGGUCAGCGACUUAUAUUCUGUAGCAAGGUUAACCGUAUAGGGGAGCCGCAGGGAAACCGAGUCUUAACUGGGCGUUAAGUUGCAGGGUAUAGACCCGAAACCCGGUGAUCUAGCCAUGGGCAGGUUGAAGGUUGGGUAACACUAACUGGAGGACCGAACCGACUAAUGUUGAAAAAUUAGCGGAUGACUUGUGGCUGGGGGUGAAAGGCCAAUCAAACCGGGAGAUAGCUGGUUCUCCCCGAAAGCUAUUUAGGUAGCGCCUCGUGAACUCAUCUUCGGGGGUAGAGCACUGUUUCGGCUAGGGGGUCAUCCCGACUUACCAACCCGAUGCAAACUACGAAUACCGAAGAAUGUUAUCACGGGAGACACACGGCGGGUGCUAACGUCCGUCGUGAAGAGGGAAACAACCCAGACCGCCAGCUAAGGUCCCAAAGUCAUGGUUAAGUGGGAAACGAUGUGGGAAGGCACAGACAGCCAGGAUGUUGGCUUAGAAGCAGCCAUCAUUUAAAGAAAGCGUAAUAGCUCACUGGUCGAGUCGGCCUGCGCGGAAGAUGUAACGGGGCUAAACCAUGCACCGAAGCUGCGGCAGCGACACUAUGUGUUGUUGGGUAGGGGAGCGUUCUGUAAGCCUGCGAAGGUGUGCUGUGAGGCAUGCUGGAGGUAUCAGAAGUGCGAAUGCUGACAUAAGUAACGAUAAAGCGGGUGAAAAGCCCGCUCGCCGGAAGACCAAGGGUUCCUGUCCAACGUUAAUCGGGGCAGGGUGAGUCGACCCCUAAGGCGAGGCCGAAAGGCGUAGUCGAUGGGAAACAGGUUAAUAUUCCUGUACUUGGUGUUACUGCGAAGGGGGGACGGAGAAGGCUAUGUUAGCCGGGCGACGGUUGUCCCGGUUUAAGCAUGUAGGCUGGUUGUCCAGGCAAAUCCGGAUAAUCAAGGCUGAGGUGUGAUGACGAGGCACUACGGUGCUGAAGUAACAAAUGCCCUGCUUCCAGGAAAAGCCUCUAAGCAUCAGGUAACAUCAAAUCGUACCCCAAACCGACACAGGUGGUCAGGUAGAGAAUACCAAGGCGCUUGAGAGAACUCGGGUGAAGGAACUAGGCAAAAUGGUGCCGUAACUUCGGGAGAAGGCACGCUGGGGUGUAGGUGAAGUCCCUGCGGAUGGAGCUGAGACCAGUCGAAGAUACCAGCUGGCUGCAACUGUUUAUUAAAAACACAGCACUGUGCAAACACGAAAGUGGACGUAUACGGUGUGGCGCCUGCCCGGUGCCGGAAGGUUAAUUGAUGGGGUUAUCCGUAAGGAGAAGCUCUUGAUCGAAGCCCCGGUAAACGGCGGCCGUAACUAUAACGGUCCUAAGGUAGCAAAAUUCCUUGUCGGGUAAGUUCCGACCUGCACGAAUGGCGUAAUGAUGGCCAGGCUGUCUCC
This 1993-nucleotide ribosomal RNA is filed under the name Klebsiella pneumoniae CHS 60. RNAcentral's name for it is "bacterial LSU rRNA". It matches the Rfam family "Bacterial large subunit ribosomal RNA", at positions 1 to 2023 of the family's 2925-position model. Lineage: Bacteria; Pseudomonadati; Pseudomonadota; Gammaproteobacteria; Enterobacterales; Enterobacteriaceae. The record is from RNAcentral.